Molecule: ribosomal RNA, 305 nt
Filed under: uncultured bacterium
Lineage: Bacteria
Description: bacterial SSU rRNA
Rfam family: Bacterial small subunit ribosomal RNA
Source: RNAcentral
UGCCUACGGGGGGCAGCAGUGAGGAAUAUUGGUCAAUGGGAGAGAUCCUGAACCAGCCAAGCCGCGUGAGGGAAGACGGCCCUAUGGGUUGUAAACCUCUUUUGUCGGAGAACAAAACCCGGGACGAGUCCCGGACUGCGUGUAUCCGAAGAAAAAGCAUCGGCUAACUCCGUGCCAGCAGCCGCGGUAAUACGGAGGAUGCGAGCGUUAUCCGGAUUUAUUGGGUUUAAAGGGUGCGUAGGCGGGCCUUUAAGUCAGCGGUAAAAAUUCGGGGCUCAACCCCGCCCGGCCGUUGAAACUGGGGG